CCCUUAGAUGUUCUGGGCCGCACGCGCGCUACACUGAUGCAUUCAACGAGUCUAAAACCUGCUCUGAUAGGGGUGGGUAAUCUUUUGAAUGUGCAUCGUGAUUGGGAUAGAUGAUUGCAAUUUUUCAUCUUCAACGAGGAGUGCCUAGUAAACGCAAGUCAUCAGCUUGCAUUGAUUACGUCCCUGCCCUUUGUACACACCGCCCGUCGCUCCUACCGAUUGAAUGAUCCGAUGAAUAUCAUGGAUUGAGGAUGCAAGCAGGUUCGCCUGUCUUCAUCUUCGAGAAGUGAAGUAAAUCUUAUCAUUGAGAGGAAGGAGAAGUCGUAACA
RNAcentral lists this ribosomal RNA (329 nucleotides) under uncultured eukaryote. RNAcentral describes it as "partial 18S ribosomal RNA". It matches the Rfam family "Eukaryotic small subunit ribosomal RNA", at positions 1470 to 1796 of the family's 1831-position model. The record is from RNAcentral.